RNAcentral lists this long non-coding RNA (1049 nucleotides) under Olea europaea subsp. europaea. The record is from RNAcentral. Lineage: Eukaryota; Viridiplantae; Streptophyta; Magnoliopsida; Lamiales; Oleaceae.
AGGCAUUCUUCUGGAUUUUGACACAUGGUGUUGAUGGCCGUCUGAUUGGGUUCUAGAUGUUUCCAGCAAUAUAUUCGUGUGUGACUCUUUGACUAGACACAAUUUUGGAGAGUUUAAUCUGGCUUUGAGGUCCUGCUCUUGAGUUUUCUCUUCCGUGUGAAGAACUCUUCUUCUUUGUGAAUUGGGAUCCAAAAAUCUGAGUGUUCCAAUAAGUAAAUUUUGUGAAAACCUUUGUUAUACUAUAGAUACUUGUAGUUGUGUAUUCGAUGUUGGUGUUGUAUGAAUCUAUGUGAUUCGAUGAGAGCAGUGCUGGGUUUUUCAUAGAUUUGUGUGAUCUGGAGUUGAUUCCUUAGUGGAUAGUGGUCAGCCUUGUGAUUUCUCUUAAAGAUAAGUCUCAUGCUUAGUCUUUGUAAUUUUUGGAACAAUAUUGUAUAUUCUUACAGUCAGUUUUUUGGCUUUAUAGUACAAUCGAGUUUUAUCCAUUUCUAAUGGAUGUUCAAUGAGGGAUUAGACGUUAGAAGUGGUAGCCGAACCUCUGGGGUUUAGGCCGAAAAAAUCUUUGUGUUGACUUUUACGUCUCUGCAUUUUUCUUUACUGCUUUGCAUUUGUGGUUUUAUGAAUCUUGGUUAAUGCCUUGAAUGCUCCUCGACUUUUCAGUGGUAUCAGAGCAAUCUUGGAUUGCUGGAGCGUCUCUAAUUUCUAUGAGUCGACUAGAUUCUGAAACCUGUCUCAAAUUGCAGUAAACAUUGGCUAGUGGAAAUUGAGUUUUAUCAAACUCAUUGGCGAGAUCUAUCCUACAUUCUGUAAUUAGUUUUUAUAGUAGGGUCUCCUAAUUUUUCCUCUAAUUUACCUUGCACUAAGAAGCCCUAUUGUGGCUGGUCUUUGUCCAGAGACUCAAGAAAUCUUGAGAAUCUGAAAUAACAACACCAGUAGGAAUACAAUUGGGAGGUCUUCCUACAGAAGUCAGUUGAGGCAUAGGAAUUGAUAUCUGUAUUCUUUGUGAUUCUACCUCUUAUACUUAGUGUUAAGUGUUUAUUAUUUUGAGAAAA